GUUCUUCAUGCCAUCGGGCCAAGAUGGCUAUUCUAUUCCAUGUCUCACUCAGUUUUCAGGGUAGGGAGAUCUGUUCUGGAGUCCCUAAUCAGUUGAUAAUUUGGCUUUUUGCUUCUAUUCUUCUCAUUCUCAUGGCAUCUGCUUUCUUCAUUAUUUGAACUAAGACAACAUGGGCAUUCAUAACUUGCAUAUGAGGUGUGCCAUAUUAAAACUAGUGCUAUACAUAUGCUCACCACAAUCCUGCUUAUGCAAUGCCGUACUGGACUCUCUCAAGCCAAAUAUAAACACUGGGUUGGGGAAAGACACAAUGAUGUCUUCUUAAAUGAACACACCAUUUGAGUCUUUGGUUGGCAUAACUUUAAGGGAAUAAUAUCUGUUCAUUUGUAGGGUCAAGGUAUCAAGACAAAAAGAUAGACAAUGCUCUCUGCUCAGUGGCUUCAACAUAUGUAUGGCAGAUGUUCAGGAAUAUGGAUGUACCUGCAUCAGGGAGGAGAUACAUAAAGCAUAUAACAUACAGUAGCUCUUUUGGCAAAGAACCUAAUUCAGCAUGUCGCACGUCUCAUUGGUCAUUGCUCCCUCUGAAAGUCCCACUUGGAUACCAACUUUGGAAAUUUCAUUUUUCAUCUCACCAAAGUCCAAUUCUUUGGAUACAUGAACUCCCUUAAGGGAUAUCCACAUAGACAACUGCAAGACAAAGAAACUGAAGUUCAGAGAAGAAAAAUGAUUUGUCCUAGAUCAUGGAGCAAAUUAGUAGCAAGACACAGCUUCAAACCCAGUGAACAAGUGAGAAUGGGAAGAAAGAAAGAUAAAUUUCUUUUAAUUAACCUCAGUAAGGACAGCCAGUCAUAUGGGCCUACUACAAUUCAAGACUUCCAGGCUCAAGUCUUCCUAGAAUUACAGGUGCUCCAUCACACUUGGCUACAAUUUCCAGUCCUUUGACACCACAAAAAUAAUUUUUCCCCUUUUCUUUGUUCUCUUUGGGAUAUAGACCCAGUCAUGGUUUGACUAGAAUAAAGAUGCCAGUAUGCAUAGUUUUAUUAUCCUU
This 1045-nucleotide long non-coding RNA is filed under the name Monodelphis domestica (gray short-tailed opossum). Its description in RNAcentral is "lncRNA (ENSMODG00000036507.1)". Lineage: Eukaryota; Metazoa; Chordata; Mammalia; Didelphimorphia; Didelphidae. The record is from RNAcentral.